UUUUAAGCACACCACAUGAUGCUCUUCCAUGGGAAAUAAAGUUGAUCACAUUAUUUCUAACUUCAAUGAUCCCUCAGCAACAUCAAGAAUCUUAAAAAGAUAAAGAAAAGUUAUGACACAUUGCAUCAUCUGUCAGACAAGCUGCUUGAGUCCCAAUUCCAGUAAUCAUCACGGGAAAAGAGAAAAAUGAUGCUUUUGAUCCAAGCAAGUCAAGAAAGGUUGUGUCCUCCUCCUCACACUUUUUUUGGAAAGCAAUCCCAUUCAAAUUUGAAAGUGAAGCCACUUUCUCCCUCCCUAACAGUAUUGAAACCUAAGGAACAAGAGCACAUCCUUAUAAGCUAUUACUCUGCAGCUAGUACAAAAGGAGAGGGAUUUGCAUUAGAACAAGUGUUAAGAGUUGAGCUUCAGGCAAGGUAAGAUCAUUAUUUAUAACAAGCUGAUCUGCUUCUAUAUGAUUAACAGAAAAACAGUGAAUUAAUGUUGUUACCUUAAUAUUGUUUAAAUGGCCUCUAGAUGUGUGAAGCCAUGCCAGGCAGAGUGGUUAACACAAAAUUAAUGUGAAUCCAAGAGAGAGUUCUGGGAAACAUUUUCACCUGGAGUAUGCUUAAUUAAUGACCUUGAAACCAUAAGCUCUCAUAAGCCUCUGCAGUAUGGUCUUAUUUGGGGAGACAGGACACAGCCUGAUUUAAUGGGAUAUUCUUCAGAGACUGGUAAAACUGUCCUCUCACCAGAUCUCUGCUUGGGCAGUCAGACUUAUUCUUCAAGUACUUGCAUAAACAUUAACACAUCUGACAUGUCUCCACCAACUCCUGCAGUUUUAUAGGACAUCUAGGCUAUUUUUUUGAGAAAGAAAGUGAAGACAUGCUGUGGCCCCUAUUGCAAUGAAAAUCAGAAAACUGAUGCUUGCAAAAUGUCCGAAGAAAAGUCCUGAGUGUUUGCUACGUGACUCAAUAUGCAUGCACUCAUGCUCAUGCAUUUAUUUUGAAGUCUGAAGGGUCUCACUCUGUCACCCAGGCUGGAGAGCAGUGGUGCAAUCAUAGCUCACUGUAACCUGGAACUCCUGGGCUCAAGUGAUCCUCCUACCUUGGCCUUCUGAGUAGCUGGAAUUACAGGCAGAUGCCACCAUGCCCAGCUAUUGAAACAAAAAAUGUAGACAUGGGAUUUUGCUGUGUUACCCAGGCUGGUUUUGAACUCAUGGCUUCAAGCAAACCUCUCACUUCAGCCUUCCAAAGCUCUUGGCUUGAAGGCAUGAGUCAUCAUGCCCAGCCUUAACUGGUUAGAUUUUGAAUUCAAUAUAUUUAUAUAUUCAUGAAAGGUCUAUAAAGAAGAUUGGCAAAUAGGCAAUUCAUGACAUAUACUGUCCCUCUCUAUGAACAGCUUUUAACAAAACUAUUAUGUAACAUUGAUUAUUCUAACAAGUUAAUUGAUAAAGACAUGACUGGCUGCAUCUCUCAAAAAGUAAUCAUUUUAAUUUCCCUAAAUCAUGAAAUAAAUAGAAAUGUCAUGUAGUAAAGGCAAUACAGGUUUUAUACUCUCUAGGAGUUCAUUUCAGACAUAUUAGAUGAGAAGGAAAUGAUGUUAUUUCUAUGCUGUUAUAUUAGUGAGUCAAAAUAAUUUUCUGACUUUUCAUAAAUGCAUUGAAUAUGUUAAUAGCUAUUUUAUAGAAUUAUCUUCUGUUCAAACCAUUCAAGGUGGAAUAAUAGACACAAAAAUUAAAUAUAUUACAUCACUGAAAUUCCCUCUCUUACUCUGUUUUUAACACUGUUUUGGCUUGGCUUGGCUUUUCUUUCUUUCUUUUUCUCUUUCUUUCUUUCUUUUUGUUUUUUUACUCAUUUAAAUGAAGACAUGUUUUGAGAACCCAUUUGGUUGAAGUCUUAGUUACAGUAUUGAUUUUUUAAGUGGCUUGUAUCAUUCAGGUUAGUUGAACAUACUGGGAAAGUUUCCAAACAUUGGCAGAAACCCAAACUGAACUUUCUUCCAAAAAGUCAUGAAGAAUUUCAUUAACCUUUUAACAGAAAAAAAAAAAAAAAAGAAGGUAUAUUUCUCAUUUGUUCAAUUCUAAGGCCAUGUGCUCCCAGGAGAACAAAAAAAAAAGCCAGAUCAUAGCAUGAUGCUUUUUAUUUACAUCAGUGUUUGUAUUUGAAAAAGUAAAAUGUUAAGAUUGUCUCUAUAGUCAGUAACACAGACCUGGUGAGUUCCAACCCUUGUAUGUUUUACAUACAUUGAAUGCAUGUAAAAUUAUAUAUGCCUACAAUACCUUAGAAUGAUCAUCAAUGCUCAUAUUGUUGCUGAGUCAGUACAAUCUUUCACAGGUCUUUCUCAAUUGGUAAAUUGAGAAAAAAAAUUAAGUAGAAAGGAGAAAAGUAAUACUUAUGAAUUUAAAAUAAUUUUAAUUAUUUUUUUUUGCAAAAUUAACAUGAAUAAUGAUGAAUUCUGAUCAUUGCCUAUUAUAUUUGGGACAAAUGACUUGAUAAGACAAAAAGUACCAGAGAAGCAAAGUUAGAAUUAAAUACAGAGAUGAAUUCAGGUAAAAUUUUAUCAUCAGUGUUACACAAGACUUAAUUCAUUAAAUGAAUUUUCUAGAUGAAAAUGAACUUACAACAUAUUCUUUUAAACUAAAAGUAGGAUUAAACUAAUCAUAGAACUGCUUCAGGGAUGUCAAAAUUAAGGGCUAUUUGGCCAAUAAUUGAUAAACCUCAGUAUUUUUCUAAACUCAUGAAAACCUUAAUACAUUUAAAUAUUUAGAUUUAGUCAAAACUUUAUGCAGGACUGGAGGCAGAAAACGAAAUAGUUCCUCUCACAAUUUUGUCAUAGAUAUUUCUUUCACAAUUUUGAGUUUUGGGGUUUGAUGUCAAAAUAAAAGAAUAGGGAAAAUACUUUAGAGUAAUAAGUAAAAAAGUAAAGAAAAUGUAGGAAGAGAGGUAGAUCUGAAAAUACAGGUGAAAUAUUAUUUGUUACUCUUAUUUAUUUAUUUAUGAGAUGGAGUUUUGCUCUUGUUGCCCUGGCUGGAGUGCAAUAGCUGAUCUCGGCUCACGACAACCUCUGACUUCCUGGUUCAAGUGAUUCUGCUACCUCAGCCUCCUGAGUAGAUGGGAUUACAGGCAUGCACCACCAUGCCGGGCUAAUUUUGUGUUUUUAAGAGAAACAGAGUUUCUACUACCUAAAGUUUCACCGACCUUAGGUGAUCCACCUGCCUCAGCCUCCCAAAGUGCUGGGAUUACAGGCAUGAACCACUGUGCCCAGAUCAUUAAUCUUAUUUUAUAGAAUAGGAUUUAUCUAAUUAAUGUAUAAUUUUAUUCUUAAAUUUAGAAAAAUGAGAAUUCAAAAAUUCUACAUUAUACAUUUAAAUUGCUUAUCUAUGAACAUCACAGCAUGCUUCCAAUUUUUAAAUUUCUUUAUAGAACUUAGAAUAGUACAUUUUAAAAAUGUUGAAUAAAGAGAAAAUGGAUUCUUUUUGAUUCAUGUGACUUUCAUGUCAAUUACUGUACUCAACUUCCUUGUUAGAACUUGCACAUCAGCAGGUAGCAUGGGUUUCUGCUACAGACCUUUCAAUAUAUCUACUUAGAAGCUGCCCUUUGAACCUCAUCUUCUUGCUAUCACAUCCGUAAAGUAAUUCACAAUACAAGUGGUUGCAUUAACUAUUCCAGGACUACGUAAAAAUCCAUUUUUAUUGACAUGCUAUGUAUCCAUACAUUUUCUCUGGAAAGUAAAGAGGAAGAGUUCAUUGUCUCUACAAAUAAUAUCAGCCAAAUAAUUAAAAGGAUUGCUAGUAGCUAUCCUACUUUUUGUGCUGCUGGGGUGACACUGUGAACCUCUGAUGUUCUCUAGGUAGCUGUCCUGCUGCUCAUUCCAAAUUUGUCAGGUUAUUUGGCACCUGAUCUGACCUUAAUGUCUACGAUGAACUGCUGAGCUAUGAAGUGUUCUGAUUUUUUGGAUGCUUUGCCAAAUUCCUUCCCCAACCCCUGCCACCUUUAAAAUAACAAGGUCAAUCACACAAAAGAAAGAUGGCAGAGUUUCAGUUCCAAUGAUGCUGAUUAUCAGCAUAACACAUAUGGUUCAGCAUAACAUCCAACUUGUCCUUGAAGACUAUAGCAACUCUAGCUGGAAUUGGCUAAGAUAAAGUAAUUAUGAAUAAAAGUGCCCAUUUUUCUAAAGAUACUUUACCAACCAUCCAAGAAAGUGCAUUUUAAAUUCUGUUUUCCAAACUAUAAUCACUUAAUUAAAAAAAAUCACUUUUAAAGAAAACAAUGUUUACUCACAUUGGCUAUAGUCAAAUGAAACCGACAUCAGUCAAAUAAAUUGCAGAGUCUUACAAUUUAUUUGUUAUGAAUCAGUUUUAAAGAUGGUAAAACAAGGAGCUAUUUGUGGACAAUGGUAUAUAAUGCUCUAUACCCUAAGGAUUCCUUUCUUACUAUUUUGACCAAGCAGAAUCCAGAGAAGUGCUUUCUUAUGAAAUAAUUUAUACCUUCAUCUUUUACUCAUUACUUAAAUACUACCUUUGUUUUAUCUUUUCUAAUUUCUUGAUAGUUCUCAAGGUACAGGUUUUGUAAUUUAGUCUUAUAUACACUCACUGAAAAUACCCUCAAUAUUACCUGAACAGAUCAUGGUUUUACCUUAGACUUCACCCACUCUGGUAUAGAGUAACAAGCAAGCAAAAUGAUACCACAAAGUUCUGAUACCCUCUUCACCUGGGCAACAUAGAGACAUGUUAUGACUUCUAAUGCAUACAGAAACAAGAUUAGUACAUAACACAUACAUAGCACUCAAAGAAUAAAAUUGGUAUAUUAUAUAAACAUUCUACAGUAAAUUAUUCACAUAGUAAGUAAAUCUUCAUUUGAGAACCCUUAUAGGCAGCUAGUAGGGUACUAGUUGUUUUUUUAUUCAUCCAAGGAAAAUUUUUAUUACUGGCCAAUCAUGGGCAUACUAUUAUACAACCUGAGUAGAUAUAUUAUAGAACUUCAAAGUAAAACAAAUGUCAAUAAUCAGCUAACAUUUUAUAUAUGAGGAGAGUGAUGUCCAGAGAGGUAAAGUAACAUCCCAAAGUAUCAACAGCUGGUUGAAUAAAAGAGGACUAGAAUAUUGAUGUUAUUCUUUCCAUAAAACUGUGGUUUAUUAUUGCUUGGAAUAGGUAAUAUAUACUUUUUAUAUCUAUUUAGGAGAUUAUUGCUUUGAUAAUACAACAAUAUAAAAAAUACUGUUGGCAAUAUAUCUCCCUGUUUAUAAGUUCUAUCUAUAUAUCGACCUAUAGAUCUAUGUAUCUCUCUGUACUUAUCUAUUGAUUGAUAUAGGCCCAAUAAUAUACCAACAGAUCAGCAGAUUUACAAUUUAUAGUUACCAUUUCAAAGCCAAACUUUAUUUUAAUACUAUUCAUUUUUCCUUCUCCUUUUUAAAAAUGUAACUCAUGAAAAGGUUGAAAUUUAAAACAAAAAUAAUGUC
Callithrix jacchus (white-tufted-ear marmoset) is the source of this 5436-nucleotide non-coding RNA. Lineage: Eukaryota; Metazoa; Chordata; Mammalia; Primates; Cebidae. The record is from RefSeq and is a predicted model, not a curated record.